This is a non-coding RNA of Arachis ipaensis, 294 nucleotides long. NCBI's taxonomy places the organism in Eukaryota, Viridiplantae, Streptophyta, Magnoliopsida, Fabales, Fabaceae. The record is from RefSeq and is a predicted model, not a curated record.
AGGAUAUUAAAGAUCUAUCAGUCUAUUUUAAGUGAGUACAAGUUUCAUAUUCAUAUUUAUUUUGUAGACUUAGAUAAGUCACUUGGAAGGUCGGUUGUUUGCUGGAAACUCUGAACUGGUUUAUGAAAACAGAGCUCCACUUCCAAUUGAUAAUUAAUUAAUCAAAUGAAGUGAUAUGAACCUGAAACUUGUGGAUUCUGAAACUUAGGGAUGUUGACUGUAAUCUCACCAAAAUUUAGAAGCAACGGAUUAGAAUUGAAAUUAUUAUGGAAUUUAUAAAAAACAAGGCUGCAU